UACGGAGGAUGCGAGCGUUAUCCGGAUUUAUUGGGUUUAAAGGGUGCGUAGGCGGCUUAGUAAGUCAGCGGUGAAAUUUUGCAGCUUAACUAUAACAGUGCCGUUGAUACUGCCAGGCUAGGAUUUGGUUGCUGUGGGUGGAAUGUGUGGUGUAGCGGUGAAAUGCUUAGAUAUCACACAGAAUAUCGAUUGCGAAGGCAGCUCACAAAGCCAAGAUUGACGCUGAGGCACGAAAGUGUGGGGAUCAAACA
Molecule: ribosomal RNA, 251 nt
Filed under: uncultured prokaryote
Description: partial 16S ribosomal RNA
Rfam family: Bacterial small subunit ribosomal RNA
Source: RNAcentral